Molecule: ribosomal RNA, 483 nt
Filed under: uncultured Verrucomicrobiaceae bacterium
Lineage: Bacteria; Pseudomonadati; Verrucomicrobiota; Verrucomicrobiia; Verrucomicrobiales; Verrucomicrobiaceae
Description: bacterial SSU rRNA
Rfam family: Bacterial small subunit ribosomal RNA
Source: RNAcentral
AACGAACGCUGGCGGCGUGGAUAAGACAUGCAAGUCGAACGGGAACUAUGGAUAGCUUGCUAACUGUAGUUCUAGUGGCGGACGGGUGCGUAACACGUGAGCAACCUACCCUGAAGUGGGGGAUAGCCUUCCGAAAGGAAGAUUAAUACCGCAUGUGAUCUCCGGAUCAAAGGCGGCUUCGGCUGCCGCUUCAGGAUGGGCUCGCGGCCUAUCAGCUUGUUGGUGAGGUAACGGCUCACCAAGGCGACGACGGGUAGCUGGUCUGAGAGGACGAUCAGCCACACUGGAACUGAGACACGGUCCAGACACCUACGGGUGGCAGCAGUCGAGAAUCAUUCACAAUGGACGAAAGUCUGAUGGUGCAACGCCGCGUGGAGGAUGAAGGCCCUAGGGUCGUAAACUCCUGUCAUCAGGGAGUAAGCCUUGGUCGUUAAUAGCUUCCAAGGUUGAUAGUACCUGAAGAGGAAGGGACGGCUAACUUCG